GGAAGCGAUUGCCACGCUGGUGCGGGCCUCGGACUUCAAAUCCGGUGGGGGACGUGGCAACACGUCCCCGGCGGGUUCGAUUCCCGUCCGCUUCCG
Molecule: transfer RNA, 96 nt
Filed under: Myxococcales bacterium
Lineage: Bacteria; Pseudomonadati; Myxococcota; Myxococcia; Myxococcales
Description: tRNA-Sec
Rfam family: Selenocysteine transfer RNA
Source: RNAcentral